AUUUGGUGAAGAAGAUAGACCCAAUUGUUUCGAAACUGAAGCAGCAUGUACUUCCAAUAGAGUUGACGAAGAAUUUCUGUUGGAUAGAGAAGAUGAUGUUGUAACUCAAUUUCUAUAAUUAAAUUUUGUCCUAUUUAACAUCUCCUUUCCAAAAAAAGGUUUGGAAUUUGCUUUUACGACAAGUGAUACUACAGUUGGUGGAUCGCAACAAGUCAAAAGUCCAUUUAUUGUCAGAGGGAAAGGAAGACCUUCAUCUCUUAGAAGAGCAUCUAGGAUGGAGAUAGACAUUCGGAAGCUUAAAGCCAAAUAAAAGAAAACACAAGUUGGAGGAAAAUGCAAACAGCGAGAUGAAAGGGAUACAGAAUCCAUGGGCACGCCCAUGACUUUAUUUGAUGAUAGAGAUACAGCAGUCAUGCUCACUCGAAGGAAUUUAUUUGGGCCAUCAGAAGUAGACCUCACCCAUCCUGUUCAAGUGAAGGUAUCAGAAAAACUGCAGAAUUUUAUUGUACGUGUUUAUUGGUUUUUUCAAUUUUGUAUUGUGAUUUGAAAGUUUAUGGUGGAUAUAGCAAGUUCUAGACAAUUCAGUAGAUUUUAACAGUAGUGGAACCACGCAAUCUCAUCCCAUUAUUGGUAGUCAAGAAAGUCACAACCGGAGCUCUUUGGGUGGAGAUGGGUCACAAGAGUUUGAGUAAACUGGUUCCUAUGUGGAGAUGAGAUAUUUGUGUCAAUCAUGUAAUUACGUAUGUGGAUGGAAUUUGAGAGAUUUUUUGUGUAUUUCAAUCCAUAUGUGUGUGGCAAGAAGGAGGAGAUUUGCCAAUAGGCUUGAAUUUUAAUUUGUGUUAUUUGAUGUGGGUUAAACAGUGGAUAUUUGAUUAUAAUAAUUAUGUAAAUACAACAGGUUAUGAAUAACUUGAUGAUUAUUUAGAGGAGGUUAUGUC
Long non-coding RNA from Carya illinoinensis, 938 nucleotides. RefSeq lists it as uncharacterized. The transcript has 3 exons. The record is from RefSeq and is a predicted model, not a curated record. NCBI's taxonomy places the organism in Eukaryota, Viridiplantae, Streptophyta, Magnoliopsida, Fagales, Juglandaceae.